AUGUGGCCGGGGAGGAUUCCUCAGGUGACGUCCACCAUCCUUGUUUGGUGCACUGGAGACCCCAGGAGUUUGGGGCGGGCGCUAGCAGCGAGUGCAGGCUCCCCUGCAGUGGGGCAGGUGGGCAGCGGUGGGCAGGACCUCCAGGGUACUGGCCUUUCAGCUCAGAGAGAGAAACAGGCUCAGGCCCACUCCCGUCCUGGCUGCUGGGCCCUCUGGAGUCGGAGGCCGGGGUGCCUGCCUCGGUUUCUCCAGGUUCAGAAGGACCCUCCCAGCCCCACAGCCCGGCGGCACCCUCAGGCCCGUGGACUUGCCCCUUCCCAGGAGAGCUGCCCCGCGCCUCCUCUUUCUUUCCCCAUCUCCUCUCUGCACUGGCACUUAUUAUGCACCUACUGUGUGCAGGGCUCUGAGUGCUGGGGACCAGAGAGGAAGGGGGGCAGUGGCCAGGCUUGGUCUGAGAGUUGGCCGGGGUGGAAGAGCGAGGUGCCGGGGCUGGGGAGGCUGCUGGUCUGCAGCGCAGUUUGGAAGGUCUGGGCCCAGGCAGCGGUGGGGGGGCUGUGCACGGUCUGGGGGCGCUGCAGGGUGACCCGAAAGUCCUGGAAAGUCCUGGCUGCAGCUGGGCAGCAGCGGGAGGGGUGUGGCUGCGGGGGGUGCCAGCCCUCACUCCCAGGCCCAGCCGCCCAGGCGAGGGCCAGGCGAGGGCCUUGGGGGCAGAAGCGGGAGCCGAGCUGGCCUCCCCGCGCAGUUACCUUGGGAGGGCCUCGCUGCCGGCUGUUGCUGUGGGAAGGCUGCAGGUCUCAUGACCAGUCAGCCCAGCCCAGCACUUUCCUCGCGCAGUUCCAGGCUGGGGUGAGGCCUGAGCGUGCCGUGCGCCUGUGUGGCCACUGGGCUCCAGGCCCGAGGGUGAGCCUGCCUCGUGGGGUCCUGCCCCGCGGCACCCUGGGUGGCUGGGGGACUGUGCGCUGUGCUCGGGGAGGGUCCCAGGCGCGGGCACACACGCCCCGCUGGAUCUCUGAGGCCACGGCCGGUCCGGGUUGCAGCUCCCCUUCCUGCCAGUGUCCUCGUUCCCAGGCCCACCACUGCCCUGGUGACAUGCAAAUGCGCCCACCGUCCCUGGCCCCUCUGGAGGGCGGCCAGUUUCCAUGCAAACUGGGCUUUGGUUAA
RNAcentral lists this long non-coding RNA (1161 nucleotides) under Canis lupus familiaris (dog). RNAcentral's name for it is "lncRNA (ENSCAFG00030005461.1)". The record is from RNAcentral. Lineage: Eukaryota; Metazoa; Chordata; Mammalia; Carnivora; Canidae.